AUUACAACUCUCUCUCUCUCUCUCCCCCUUCUUCAUAUUCAAAACGUACCCUCUCACACGACACCACUGGACCUCGUUCUGUCUUUUUUACGUUGUCAUUCCUACGUAAGUCCAUUCUCUCUCUUCCUCUUUCACUUUGUGCGUGUCUCUCUGUUAAAUUCUUUAAAGUUCUUUCCUUUCCUCUCUCUUUACGUUUCCGAUCGUCUCGGCAGAUUGGAGCAGAAAAGGCAAAAUUUGAGAAGAAUUCUUUAUUGAUAAUUAUACAGAAGUGUAUUUUUGAAUCCUGUUGAAGGUAUUA
Molecule: unclassified non-coding RNA, 298 nt
Filed under: Hevea brasiliensis (rubber tree)
Lineage: Eukaryota; Viridiplantae; Streptophyta; Magnoliopsida; Malpighiales; Euphorbiaceae
Source: RNAcentral